GACGAACGCUGGCGGCGUGCCUAAUACAUGCAAGUUGAGCGAUGAAGAUUGGUGCUUGCACCAAUUUGAAGAGCAGCGCACGGGUGAGUAACGCGUGGGGAAUCUGCCUUUGAGCGGGGGACAACAUUUGGAAACGAAUGCUAAUACCGCAUAACAACUUUAAACAUAAGUUUUAAGUUUGAAAGAUGCAAUUGCAUCACUCAAAGAUGAUCCCGCGUUGUAUUAGCUAGUUGGUGAGGUAAAGGCUCACCAAGGCGAUGAUACAUAGCCGACCUGAGAGGGUGAUAGGCCACAUUGGGACUGAGACACGGCCCAAACUCCUACGGGAGGCAGCAGUAGGGAAUCUUCGGCAAUGGACGAAAGUCUGGCCGAGCAACGCCGCGUGAGUGAAGAAGGUUUUCGGAUCGUAAAACUCUGUUGGUAGAGAAGAACGUUGGUGAGAGUGGAAAGCUCAUCAAGUGACGGUAACUACCCAGAAAGGGACGGCUAACUACGUG
RNAcentral lists this ribosomal RNA (497 nucleotides) under uncultured bacterium. Its description in RNAcentral is "partial 16S ribosomal RNA". It matches the Rfam family "Bacterial small subunit ribosomal RNA", at positions 28 to 507 of the family's 1533-position model. The record is from RNAcentral.